GUGAAUCAUCGAAUUUUUGAACGCAUAUUGCACUCUCUGGUAUUCCGGAGAGUAUGCCUGUUUGAGGGUAAUUAAAAAGAAUCUGUAACCAAUUUUUUUUGGUCAAAGGAAAUGAGCUCUUCGCGUUUAUAGCGGUAGCUUUAAAUAAAUUGUCAGGUCUCAUGUUAGUUGAUACGCAUAGUA
RNAcentral lists this unclassified non-coding RNA (183 nucleotides) under Ambisporaceae sp. RNAcentral describes it as "partial contains 5.8S ribosomal RNA and internal transcribed spacer 2". The stretch from base 1 to 71 matches the Rfam family "5.8S ribosomal RNA", at positions 84 to 154 of the family's 154-position model. The record is from RNAcentral. Lineage: Eukaryota; Fungi; Glomeromycota; Glomeromycetes; Archaeosporales; Ambisporaceae.